This 90-nucleotide transfer RNA is filed under the name bacterium. Its description in RNAcentral is "tRNA-Ser". It matches the Rfam family "tRNA". From Rfam's summary of the family: Transfer RNA (tRNA) molecules are approximately 80 nucleotides in length. Their secondary structure includes four short double-helical elements and three loops (D, anti-codon, and T loops). The record is from RNAcentral.
GGAAGCGUGCCAGAGUGGUCGAAUGGGCCGCACUCGAAAUGCGGUAAGCCCGAAAGGGCUUCGGGGGUUCGAAUCCUCCCGCUUCCGCCA